Molecule: ribosomal RNA, 461 nt
Filed under: uncultured bacterium
Lineage: Bacteria
Description: partial 16S ribosomal RNA
Rfam family: Bacterial small subunit ribosomal RNA
Source: RNAcentral
GACGAACGCUGGCGGCGUGCUUAACGCAUGCAAGUCGAGCGGAAAGGCCCUUCGGGGUACUCGAGCGGCGAACGGGUGAGUAACACGUGAGUAACCUGCCCUAGGCUUUGGGAUAACCCCGGGAAACCGGGGCUAAUACCGGAUAUGACCUGGUGCCGCAUGGUGUUGGGUGGAAAGUUUUUUCGGCCUGGGAUGGGCUCGCGGCCUAUCAGCUUGUUGGUGGGGUGAUGGCCUACCAAGGCGAUGACGGGUAGCCGGCCUGAGAGGGCGACCGGCCACACUGGGACUGAGACACGGCCCAGACUCCUACGGGAGGCAGCAGUGGGGAAUAUUGCACAAUGGGCGGAAGCCUGAUGCAGCGACGCCGUGUGAGGGAUGAAGGCCUUCGGGUUGUAAACCUCUUUCAGCAGGGACGAAGCGUGAGUGACGGUACCUGCAGAAGAAGCGCCGGCCAACUACGU